Molecule: long non-coding RNA, 11805 nt
Organism: Halichondria panicea
Lineage: Eukaryota; Metazoa; Porifera; Demospongiae; Suberitida; Halichondriidae
Exons: 5
Source: RefSeq, a predicted model, not a curated record
UAACCAACCAAGCAUAUUUUUAGGGGACAGUAAUCUCUGGGCAAUGCCGCGCCGUUAGUUUAUUAGAGAGAAUAAACUCUGAGAGCAGAUAUAGAUUUAUUUCCAGCAUUAUCUGUGUAGAUCCUGUUAACGAAGGCGGGGUGGUGAGCGAGUGCUCUGCCAUUGCGAGGCUACGAAGGCCGAGGGGAGGGGAGGCUGAUAGGACGUUGGUGAAACCAUUUGUACUAUCUACUAGUAUUAUUUGCACAUGUUCAUCAAAUUAAGGUAACGAUCAUUACAUUAAGUUUUGCAUAAUGAUGUUGAAUUAUUUAUGCACCUUCAGUGAAGGUGCAUAAAUAAUUAUAUAUUAUCACUUCAAGUCAACAAGAUAACAAUGAGAAUUUAUGUCGUUGUGUGUAACCUCGGUCCCUAUCGCCUAACCGUUAUAAAAACGAAAACUCGACGUGGUAUAGAUCUAGUUGGGCGGAGCCCGACCGUCCCUGACGGGAGGUCGGGUUUCAAGCCUAUGUCAGGAUUUGUCUUGCUAAAUUAUGUAACACGCUGAUAAGCAGCUAUGAAUAAUCAUUAAUUUUUAUUCUAUGAAUAUUAUUAUUCUGAAGUGGGUGUUAACCAAUUUUAUCUUGCUUGAGGUUGCACAACGUGACACACACCACAGUAGAAAUGCUACAAUCUGAUUGGGCUACAACUAUAGUUGCAGCAAAGACAAAUCCUGACAUAGGCUUGAAACCCUACCUCCGCCCAACUAGUAUAGAUCUACAUUGAAGGUAGUGUUUAUAGUUUAUACCGACUCAGAAUGAUCCGUGGAUUAGUUUUACCUUGUAUACUUCACUCAAUGUCGUGAAACAGUUCGUUGAGCAAUGAGUGCAUGCAUGUGAGGCUAGCUAUUACGGAGCAUUACUGUAGCUUGUUUUACCCUAAUGGCCCACACAUAACUGCAUGCACAUUCAAAUUAAGCCUUUGGUCCUUUAAAUAUCAUCUAUCAAAACUGUUGUUUACACAGAUGCAGAUUACACUGCCUAGUAGCCUCGAUUCCAGGCCGCGAAUCGAGGCUAACUGCCUAGCUGCAGUGUCAGCUCUCUAUUCUGGGUUCUGAAAUGGUUGUACUGCAUGGGCAUUAUCACCCCAUCUACGCUUGCUUGGAGGAAUGUGGUCGGCCAUUAAAAGUUCAGUUUCUACAAGGAAAAGGGAUGAAAGGACAGUUUUUGAUCAUUAUUUUACUAUCAUCCAUCAAAGAUUUGUACUGAUGUGUUAUGUUUAGGGCUUAGCAAAUUAAUAUGCUUUUUAUUCAAAGAGUCGGCCAGUUUGGUGUGCCCAUUAUUCCAGUCAAUUUAUUUGUAGCUGUAUUGAUAGCACUACCUGAGGUAGUCUCGUUCCCAGCCUCGUUGUCUCUAUAUAGCUAGUAUUUUUCAACUUCGUUCUAUUAAAAAAAAUCGCCCCGGGACCGAAGCUUAUACCUGAGGUAGCAUUUAUACAAACAGUGCACGAAAUAAUUAUAAUCCUCUAAUGCCGAAAGAGAAAAUACUCCUCCAUGCCUGCCUAUAGACUCGCUGGCCAGUCCAUCCUAGGGAUUGGGACUGGUCAACUGCCAAUCAACGAGUUAAUUGUUCUAAUGACCAUACACAGUGCAGAAGCAAUGUCAUCUGACAUAUUUCGCCCACGUAAUUCAUUGUAGUUGGGCUGGGUCUGAGUCUGAUGUUGUGUUAGAUACCACAGGACAUAACCCACAUUCACUUGAUAGUUACGCAACUUUGGUCAACCGCACAAACCACAAGAUUAUGUCAUACAUCUUAUUAAAAUUCCACUAGAACAACUCGAUGAUUGGCAGUUGACCAGUCCCAAUCCCUAGGAGGAUGGACUGGUAAGCGAGUAUAGCCUGCCUAGUGGCUAGUGCUUACAGUACAGUAAUAGAUGUCUAUCUAGCUACAUUAUAAAAUGUGAAAUUAAGUCUACCAGACUCUGAGGUCAAAUUAUGCUAAUUUAGUGCCCUAUAAUAAUAAUUAUUAUUCUCAAGUUAUGCUAGUUGCUAGAAGUAUCCCUAUUAUUCAAAAAAUUAAGCUAGCAUACCGGUAAUUUGCUAAGCCCUAGUUAUGUUCCUGCUAGGCGUAUGCCAAAUAUUCAAAAUUAAUCACCUAUUUCAUUCACACUUGAUCAGCGUAUUAUUCAACUUCAUCAAAUUGAUGACACCUAUUAUUCAACAUACACAGCAGCAAAAUAAAAUUAUAUAGCACCAAAAAAUAAUGGGAUUAGGUCAUUACUUUUUAAUUUCAGCAGCGAAAUAACAAACUUGUAGCACAAAAAUUUGGUUUCAACAUUGAUUGGACUACAAUCAUAAAAAUUAGCCGUGUAAGAUGUGGGCGUGUUCUGAGCUACUGCGCAUGUGCAACGAAAUCAUUAACUAUUUUCACAGUGCCUAUUGUUCAAGUUGUAAAAAAGGCUGCCUAUUAUUCAAAAAAUUAUUCUGGAAUAUUUGGCACAGUCCCUGCAGGUAUGUAUAAAAACUGAAUUAUUAGCGCUUUUACUUGAUUAAAAACAUUCAAUUUUAGGUUUUUUGUACCGGUACUUGAAGUGUACAUGAUUAUGAUAAUGACUAUAAAUCUAGUUAUAGGGUUGCUUGCUUGCCUACUAUGCAGCUAGCUGGCUAGCGAGAUAUCCGGUUAGUAGGCUUGAAGUAUUUAGAUCUAGCUUGCUAUUGACCCCAUUAAUGCAUACGCUAAUCAUCCGGUUUCUACGGUAGCUCAGUGGGAAUAGUCUGAUGGCUAGAUUACUGUCGGCAUGUUGUUGUGUUGUUGUUUUUUCUUGAGUACUCCAGGUCUAUAAAUCAAGACAUUAAUUUAGUGCCUAAAAUAUUUUUGUGACUUGUCGAAUGAAGGUGAGGCUCAUCAAAUUUAAAAUCGGCUAUUAUACACCAAGAUACAAUUUCAUACGUGAUCAAUAAUGACUUGCAGCAUGAUCAUCAAAUUGAUUAAUAUUUCAUGCCUCAUUCGGAGCUGUAUGGGCAGGUCCAAAAGUGUUCGCAUUGCAUUUAAAAGUUCCACUUACGGUUAUAAAACUUAAUUGUUGGAAACUAGCUAUAAAAAAUAUAAUUGUAGGUUUCUAGUCUAUUAGUUAAAGGUGAUAUACACUUUAUCAAUCUCCGUCAACACAUCACGAUAAAGUGGCUCAUUCCGUCUCAGUAUCUGAACAAAGUCUGCAAACCUUUUGGGAAAAUUUUUAACCACUGAAAGCACUGCUGAGUACAAUCGACUCCCCUUAGAGCUCUUAAUUUCAUUCAGUUCCUCUGUUUGAUCAACGGUAGUCUGAGCAAUAAUUCCUUCGGCCAAUAGAGCCUGAGCGAGUAAUUUUGGCUCUUUAGACAUUGCAGAGUUGAGAAUCACACUACAUUGGGUCAUUGUGUUGUAGGCAUUGAAGCAAUCACUUUGGGAGUAGUCAAUCACUCCUGGAGCUGCAUGAGAGAGAAAUUACUUUUAUAGUGCAAAAGUAAUGUUGAAUUGGAAUGCUUGUUGCACGGGAAAAAGUUAGACGUUGAGUUCACUGCUGCGUUAAAGGUUUCUACUUCACAUACAUUCUUGAUGAUUAAACACUAAUUGAUUCGGAGUGGUACAGUGGAAGUGUUGGCGGACAAAAGAAGCCCACCCUUUUUGUAUUGAACAUGCAUUCACACAUUUGAGCUUAUUCAUGACUUGUUGAAAACUGUGACCCAUGCAAUAGUAGCUAUGCUUACAGCUUGUAGAUGUGGGGCUUGGACCAGCCUCAGCAGACUGAUCCCAUACAGCACCAGCUUGUUCUAUAAGAGAGAAAUUCAUAGUUAAGAGGAGAACAAACACUUUUAGGGUAGCAAAUUAAUGAGUCUUCCAGAAUCAAUCCAUUAAUAUGUGAUCGGUUUUGGAAAAGGCAAUAUGCUAGUCCUAGAAUAAAAUCAGGGCAAUGCCAUUCGCCUUUAAGGUUAGCUGCUAGUCGUUAACACUUAAACAGUGCAACUGUGUUAGUGUGAUACCAGCACAAGCAUUGGGUGCACUCUCCCCACAUUUCCGGCAUCUUGCGAGUGCACUGGACAGCAAAAAACAGUGGCCACACAUUUUCAAAGCGCUUCCUUCCUCAAUUUACUGCAUGCAUGGGAAUAGUAGUAUCUGUGUAUUGUGUAGGCGUUUAUUACCUAGCAGCAUCUGUAGAGGGGGCGUUUAAACGAGAUGGGCGCUUAUUCGAAACGGGCGUUUAUUGUUUUGUCUACUUCAAACUUUUGCUCAUCAGCAGUUAUUAUGCUCUUUUUGGCUGCUGCCACAGCUCUCAGCUUCAAUCUUAAGUCGUAGGAGUGGUGUUUCUCCCUCUGUGUCCUCUCUGCCAUCAUAAAUAGUAUCUAUUUAUUCUAUGCUGCCAUUGUUUCAGCUGGUUCCACGUGCUAAUUCAGCUCCACCCACAGUGCCACGCCCCAUACAUGGGCGAUUAUAAGAGGGGCGUUUAUUGACAAAGACAGCUUUUACCAUAGGCGUUUAAACGAGAUGGGCGUUUAAUCAAGGAGGGCGUUUAAUCAUCAUUUCAUGUCCAAGUUAUGCCCGUUGGAAACUCAAAGCUGUGGAAUAUCAGUUGACCCGCUUGACCAGCCCCCAAUCCAACUAAGUAAAACCAACACCUUAAGAUGGCGGACUCAUGGCACAAGAAAAAGGUGCUGGCUAACUGCCCUGCUAAUCGAACUUCACACUCCACAACGUGCAUUUAGGGAUGACUAGCUCAAAAUAUAUGAAUGACAACCAGAAAAAACAAGCAUGAUUUGGCUGAAAUUUCUAAAAGUGAUGCAUUCCAAUGACGUAGCGUGUCACGGAUAGUUAUGCAGUUUGAAUGGCCGGAACAUAGACUCACAACUGCGUGUACACUAUACCGUAAUAAGUACACUUGCAUGUUGCAUUUUGCCUGAGGACAAAGGAAACAAUUAAUUAUAUGCCACAUUCCAGGAUAAGAUAUCUGAGUUAGUAUAAAGCUACCCACCGAACCAUUACCCGAAAAUAAGCAUUAAAAAUCAUUUUAUUCAUGUCGUCAUCUCAGCACACCACAGUUGCAAACUAAGUGUCCUAUAAAAGAAGUGAUGUGUACACAGAAGAUAUGUACUCAUGUGCACAUUGGAUAUAUUGGCUGGUAUAAUUAUGGCAUACUAUUUGUUCUAAAAGAGUGGCGCUAAUCUUUGUAUGUGUGUUGUGUGGCGACAAGCUAAAAGAGUGGCGCUACUGAACUUUGUAUUUGUGUGGCGAUAAAGCUAAAAGAGUGGCGCUAAUUAAUCUUUGUAUUUGUUUGGCGCUAAACUUUGUUUUUGUGUGGCGACAAGCUAAAAGAGUGGCGCUAAUUUUGUCAAGUUUGUGAGGCGACAAGCUGGUACAAAUUUUGUGGGGGCUGGCUAUGCAAAAAGAGUGACGCUAAUGCAAUGGAUACAAAUAGUGGCGCUAAUUUGUGUGUUUUGAGUGGUUUCACUUAGCUCAAAAUUAAUGACCUUUGACUAACGUAGUUUAUAUAAAGUGCAGUGCUUUUUCUUUCUUGCCUCCAGUUUUGGAGAGUGCACGUGACCGCAUGGCAAGUACAGGAAAAUUGAGUGUGUCUACUGUUAUUUAUUAUUAAUUCAAUGACAGAAAGUCUAGUUGAGGAACAUCCUCUGUGUUCAAACUGUCUGAUAUUACAGAUGAAACUUAACCAACCACUUCAUUUUGUUUUAUCUCCACACAAACAAAACACAAAGUUUAAGGCACUCUUUUAAUUUGUUGCAAACACAAUCAGCACCAGCUUGUCGCUAUACACAAACACUCUCUUUUGAGUAGCCCCACAAAAUUAGCGCCACUGUUUUUAGCUUGUCACACACAUACAAAGUUUAGUAGCGCCACUCUUUUAGCUUGUCGCCACACAAAUACAAAGUUCAGUAGCGCCACUCUUUUCUUAAUUGUCGCCACACAAGAACGAAGUUUAGCGCCAUGCACUCUUUUAGCUUGUCACCACACAAAAACAAAGUUUAGCGCCACUACUUUUAGCAUACUUUUGGAACAAAUAGCUUGCCAUACUGGUAUAUAGCCCUCGAGACCUGCAGCCGUAACAUGUGACACUCGUGGUUGUGUCACAACUAUUGCAUAAUUAUAUAUACACAAUAAACUCACGUUUCUUCUUAUAUGCUUUGUUCAAAACACCAUAAUCGUUUUCUGAUGGCUUAUCAGGUAGCGCACCAUUGGAAAAGUCACGUUGAUGAACACCGUCUAUCACUCUUUUCUCUUCUAGUUUGAGUUUGUCAUACUCAGGACUUUUAACUUGGUAUGCUGGCUUCAACCACUUUAUGUCAAACCUAAAACAGUAGUAUAAACAGCAGGAUCACGGCAUGCAGGGACGGCAUGCAUGUUAAUGAACUACGGAGCAAUUCACAAAAAUUAUGGUAAGCCCUCAGGGCCUGUUUCAAAAAUGUACUAAAAUAGUACAAUACUGGCGGCAACAAAUAGACAAUUUGCUUGUGAAAUCAGUAACGGGAACAAGCAUGCAGUAUGAACAGUUGACUUACCAGUAGUGCAUUAUGCUGUUUGGGUCAUACUCCGAUUGCUCCUGUUUAUCAUACGAGACAUUAUAACGUCUCAUAAAAACUUCAUUGUGAGCUUUUUUACACCCAUCACCAUUCUUCAUUUUUUCCUCCCCAAUGAUAAAUCGAUCGUCACCAUUUCCAUCUUUUUCCCCCAGUAUGUCCCAAAAGUCAGAGCGCUGAUGCUCGUGAUCCAAACCCAAAGCGUGGCCAAACUCAUGAAGAACAUAGCUCUUUUUUUCUUUAUCUGAUAAAUUGCACAAGUCAAGGCACAUCGUAAGCUUUCCAGGAUACUUGGUGGCAUCAGAUCCGAUGUAAGACCAGCAUCCUUCAGCUGUAAUUUUUUCACAGAAACAAUUUGCGAGCCAUAGCGCUAUUAUACGUAUCAAUCACACAAGUUGCUACACAACUGUGGCUAAAACAAAACACACUGCACAUAGAUGUGCCAAUAGUAUACAUGUGGAGUAAUAGGGUAUACAUAUUAGUUAUUGCCCAGCACCAAUAACUAACUUGUUGCCCAAUGACGUCAAACUCUUCUGAUUGGUCAAUUUUUCCCUAUAAAUUGACAUGUGUUUUGAGUGGAAUUUUAGUAAGUUUUGCUGAAUUUCAUAGUAAGGUUUUCUUCCCACAACUAAUGGAAAAGGUGUAGCCUAUAAAAGGAACCGUUGGGUAGGUUGGCGUAAGUCCCAAAAGUAGAUGUCUUUCUCAAAAUCUACUGCAUUUACACACAGUGCAAGUGCAUAAUUAUAUAUAAUCCCUGUUUGAUAAUAGCUAAAUGAAAAUGACUAUAGCAGCUCAGACAGUCGACUUGUACUUUCUCUCUGUACAGUAGGAACUACACUAUUAAUAUAGUGUAUUCACCCAAAUUACCGGGAAACUCUAUUCUAAGGGACACUUCGGACUUACGUAAUUUUUUUCACUCUAUAUUAUUAAGGAACAACAGGAAAUGUAAAUAUUUUUAGACGUCCCGAUCUAAAAUGUCAUCACCAACUGCAUAACUAUCCUCUGGGUUUCCAUUUUCCUGUUUUGUCAACAGCUGUUCUCCCUAUUUGUGGAUUCCACACAUCUUUGUAGACAUGGUACCCGCGUACACAGCUUCUAAACUGCACGAAAUACAUUUUAGCUGCAGAGCUAGCCUCGGCCUGGAAUCGAGACCGUGUCCGUACCUUAAAUGGGGAAAUCUUCGUUCUAAUUACUACGGGACACCCUAAUACAAGGGACACUUCGACUUUCUUGCUCUAUUCCAAGGGACACUGCAAGCCGUAAUUAUUUUUUUGUGUCCCGGUAAUUCGGUAUCUAUCAGGCAUGACGCAGUAUAGAUCUACUUUAUGAUACCUGACCUAUGCUGAUCUGCCUGCUGUCGCCUAUAGCUCUGGCUCUUCUGCACCUCCCCUUGUGUUGCUACAGAGAUCGAUAGAGCUAUAGAUACAGCUAAAAGCUUAUGGGGGAAGAUAAAGUUGCAUUGGCUUGCAGAGUUGCAGUACAAGGUGGCCAUGCCAAUCUAGGUAAGUGCAUCGUUUGCUUCUUUAUUGCCUUAUAUAGCGCCCCCGGGGGGAGUCCAAUCCACAUCCGUUACAGACAUAAUUAUAGAGGAUAUGCCAAAAAUCAUGAAAAAGGGGCGUGGUUACAUAUAAUUAUGUGCCAUUUUGAGUUGACAAAAAAUACCUUGAUACAUAGGCUAAAUGCUAAAAGUUGAGCUACGGUUAGAGUUGCUACACUGUUGGUAGUGCAUCAGACACUCUAAAGGAUCAAGACUAUCAUUCUUCUAUAUCUAGAAUGCCAUAGUUGAUGGAUAGCUGCAGUCAAGAGAAAGAAUGAGGAGCAGCAAAACUACCGUUUUGUUAUUCACUCUAUCACAGGCAGAAAGAGAUCCAUUCUAUGCUCCUUUUCUUGACGUGAUAGCUUUAUAGCACUUCUUGAAAGUAAUCGGAGACUUUCCUGGCAUCACACUCAGCCAUAUAAUUAUAGUAGAGCUGAAAACGUUUGCAAAUAACAUUGCUACCACUUGCUACUCAUGCUUUUUACCACUCAAAAUGGCUGACGUAUGUAAGUGGGCGGAUCCGCAUAACUUCUACAUAAUUAUAUACAAAUAUACAAAUAAUUUUAUAUAUCCACGUGGAGGUAGCACGAUUAUUCGCCUUGCUUCCUGCUCGCAUAAUUGUGUGAUUCAGAAGUGCUUUUUUCACCUAAAUCGAUACGAUUGGUUAUGUAUCAGUUGUCGAUCAACAAUGAUCUUGUGCAAGUGUAUGAACACUUGAAACAUGUAUUGAGCAAACUUACAUGACUUUAAUUCCACUCGAAUGUGUGCCUGAUCUUUUUCUUUUGGGUCAACCAGAGAGAUAGUAGGAUAAUAUUCAGCGUGCUCAUUCCAUGGCUGUACCCAGUCCAAAAUUUGUGGAGGGUUUAAACCAUAACCUCCGUACUUACAAUUCACUAGUACUUCAGGAUUCAUGAAAUGGACCUUGAGCUCUUUGACAUUCCACAACUUGCUCAAGCGGACUGCUCCCGACGAAGCAAUGUCUGGAACAUUGCUUAUAAUUAGAUGAUCUGGCCUGUGACCUUCCAAAUCUUUUUCAGUGCAGAACAGGACCCGAGCUAUCUGUAAAGUUUAAAGUACAACUGUAUAUAGUUACAGUUUCAUUGUGAGCAUUUAUAGUCUGACAGAUUAAGUAUGACUUGUACAGUGAGACUUACAUUUUCCAUGCUAUAUUUAAACUUGAAUCUCCCCUAACUUUUCCAUACAAGAUUUAAGGGGUGUAUCUAAAAAAAUGAAAUUCAUUAGGUAAUGCUUCAAUAAUAUUAUGAUAUCAUGCACACACCCAUUUUUUGGCAUUGCCUGUCACACAUAACUAGGGAUACACUGGAGUGCAAACCUCGCUACGUAUGCGCACACAUAGUUUAGCAGAUUUGUUUCCGGCUCUGAUCUAUACCUAAUAAUCGUCACAUAAGAAAGCUAGGUCUAUAUGCAUUCAAUCUGGUAAAGACGUCUAAUGGUCGACACACAAAAAAGCUAGAUUUAAGUUCAACUGUCCAGGCUGUGAGUCGACGUCCCUCAGCAUCUGCCAAGACUCCACACCAAGUAUCCAAGUUCACCAAAAGUCCAGGUAGAGCUCCUUUUGCCUCGACGUCAACCACCACUACCACCACCACCGCCACGGAAAAUCUCGAUAGGACCCGAACAUAACCUCGUUUCGCUCGGAAUUAAAUAAUGGAUCUUGGCGCCACCCUACAAUCAACUGGUUUUUUAACCUAAUCAUGGAUUAGACUUUUAGAAGAGGACCCAAAUCCUAUCGUGUAUACAAUGACUUGUAUAUGUGACAGGCUCUGGGAAAACCAGACAUUUGGAGCAGAAUUUGGUAUUGAGCUAUAGCUAAAUUUGUGCCUACAGUGUAAAAUCUCAAAUAAAAUUUUAUUGGUGUAUAAGUAUCUAUAGUCCUUCUACUACCUCUCUGUAAAAUCUGAUGCUCUAAAUCCAACUCUUUCCAUCGAAGCGCCUCAUCCAAACUUUCGCUAUUACCUUAUUUUUCCUAAUUGAGCAAUCUUUGAGAGGCGUUUUUCUCUUUUACGGCUUCAAGUUUCUAACGAGCAUAACUCGGGUAUGAAACUAGGUAUGUGAACACUAAGCAUAUCAUUAUGUAGGCAAUGCUCUGCUCUAUCACUUGGUACAUUAAUCAACGAAAUUUUAGUCUGCUCCAAAUGUCUGGUUUUCCCAGAGCCUGUCACAUAUAUACAAUAAUUAUGAAAUGCUCUACAUGCACUUACUAAUAGUCACGGAGUUAGCCUGUAUAUUCAAAGACUCAAGAACAAUGCAUUUAGAAAUCAAUGCACUAUAGUCUUAACUAUACAUAGCCUAGCUAAGCAUACUGAGUCAUAACCUAUACAGAUAUCUUGAAAUCUCUAGCUAUUGCAACAGCUAAAUUAACAGCUAAUCAUUUUAAUUGACGAGUAAUUCCUAUCACACGCACAGAACAUUGAAGACGAGUUAGACACUCUUCAACAUUAUGUACAUGAGACUACCAGGCCUCUGGACAUCCAUUUCGAACCCAUCGAAGUAGGAUAAGACACAUUCUCUGUGAGCGAGAACAUUCCUGAUUAUGAGGCAUAUGUGGAACAGAAUGAUCAAUCGUCACACAUUAACAGUCUUAAACAGUUAGAAGAAAGGAGACACUCUAUCAGACUCACAUUGACUUGUACCGGUACGAAGCACAUCGAAGUUGAUAUCGUUGAGGAUGUUCUCGCACUCUAUACCGAAGACCCAGGUAUUGUAAAUAUGGAGCUUGUGGUCACAUUCCGCAAUGAGAGUAUAGCAGUGGGCUUCAUAGGGAGUUGUUUUCAAUAUUUUGGCAUGCUGUUGAGUAACGUAUGAUGAAAGGGAAUGCAGAGAAAGUUCCAAUACUCACUCCACGGUCAGCCAAGUACUUUUACACUAUAUUGUCACACGGUUAUGUGCUUACGGGCCUAUUUGCUUUGCUUCACCUUUUUUCCUGGGCCUUAUCAACGAUCAAAGUGUUACACCUGAUGAUAUACUACUUCAAUCGUUCUUAAAUUACAUUGACCCAAGAGAACGUGUAGCAGUUGAGGCAUGCAUUUCUGCAAAUGACACUUCAGCAGUAUUAGAGAAUGUAAUCAUUCCGAUGCUGGCGAGAUUCAAUUGUGAUGUCAUCCCAAAGAAAGAAAACAUCGGAGAGGUACUACUACACACAGCUGAAUACGCUCUUGUCUGUCAACACUACUAUGCAAUAGUACAAAUAAGGAGAGGGAUGUUGUGUGCAAAUCCAAGCUUGUGGAGACAUUAUGCUUUAGCCGUAGGAAUUGAGCUCUGUCAUUCGCUUCUUCCAACGAAUAUGAAAGUAUGGAAUAUGGUGGAAGAGCCGGUAUAUCGCAACAGUACUGAAUCUAGGUGUUUCGAUUACCUCCGCCGGUUUAUUUUCACACUCUCUGCUGAAUCCUUGUCUCUGUUGCUUCGAUUCGUUACUGGCAGUCCUCAUUGUGUAAACCAAACUGUGAGUGUUGAUUUUUUUGUGCCGUCAUCAUCAUUUGUUAAAAGGCCAACUGCAACAACAUGUGGGAUUGUUCUUCACCUGCCGUCUACUUACGAGUCCUUUUCUCAGUUCUCUCAGAAAUAUCAUUGAACAUUAAUUGAUUUAUGGUCUGAACUAAACUAAACUAAUGUUUUGUUCAUUUAUAUAUAUAAUUAUGGUUCUUGAAAAUUUAUUUUCCGUUAAUUGUUUUGUACCCUUGAUUUUAAUCGUUUUCGAAUUAUCAUAAAA